AGACAACUCUUGGAAACCUGGUUUUGGCCGUGCCCUUGGAGGAGAGUUAGCUGCUGAGGACUGUUGACUCGACUGUUGACUCGAAGAAUAGAAUGAUGACAUUGAAACUCGACGUUGAAAUUGAGGAAUUGUUGGAGAGGUACUGCCAGAUGUCCGGCGUUGAAAUUGAGGAAUUGUUGGAGAGGUACUGCCAGAUAUCCUCCGAGGAGAUACUGCAGCAGAACAUCGUCUGGGGGAUACACUAGCAGAAGCUAUUUUUGGUGUGUCACUUGGAGUAAGCAGUGGUGUUAUGUAAGGGCUGGAAAACCUUUGCAAAGCGUGCUUUGAAGC
Molecule: long non-coding RNA, 330 nt
Filed under: Solanum lycopersicum (tomato)
Lineage: Eukaryota; Viridiplantae; Streptophyta; Magnoliopsida; Solanales; Solanaceae
Description: long non-coding RNA (SLYC_LNC000482)
Source: RNAcentral